This is a long non-coding RNA of Varroa destructor (honeybee mite), 1013 nucleotides long. The record is from RefSeq and is a predicted model, not a curated record. NCBI's taxonomy places the organism in Eukaryota, Metazoa, Arthropoda, Arachnida, Mesostigmata, Varroidae.
UCGCUGCUGUUAUUGUGACGGCUAGCUCAACAACAUUAUUAGUAAGAGGUCGUCUAGCUUUAUUCAUGGAAGUGAAACGUAGGUCUUGACAGUAUCUAACUAACCCAAUAGUUAACAAUGAAUUUGCAGGUGCGAUUAUCUUCUAACUUGGCGAGCUCCAAGCCUUAGCCAAGCGAGUUGGCCGAUUAGCCGCUAAUGGGACGCGGUAGACGUUAGCAAGGCCUUGCUGUGACGCACUACUAGGACUGAGCAGGAGACCUUUUGAAGUUGUUUAUAUCGUUCUUGUUGGCUAUUGUUACCGUGAAGGGCAACAGAAGAAGGCAAUACACCUAGAUCGUUUGGAAAGGUCCAUGGACAACGAUGCGAUUGGAGCUUAAUUUAACAAUACGAAACGCAUUCGACGAGUGAUACACGGUGAUGACAGUUCUACCUAAGGAAAGCGAUGGUUAUGUUUUUCUAUGUAACAUGACGUAGAAACCACAAUGCCAUAACGGCACAUGUAUGCGACGUAUGCUGCCGAAGACGACGCAAGCAAGUCCUAAAAGAGAUAAUGCUCUUUCUUUCGGCGAACACCUUAAUAAUGUUGGCUCAUAGUAAGUAGGUAACUGGGGGCAGGAAAGUUCAAAGAUCUCUUUAAAGUUAAUUUUGCAGUGUGUCGCAGUGAACUGCCAGUUUUCAGUUGACCGUUAUUCAGAAAUGUUGGAGCAUGGGCGGUGGGUAACGCCUUCGUUCUUACGAACUAACUUGAUUGCUGACACCAACCAGCAGCCAUGCUUUAGUCCCCGUAUGGACAUUGGCUGUAGCAAAGGCGAUGACGUACACGAUACUAUCGACGGAGCGUCAUCGCUAUGAGCUGUCCGCUGAGUUAGCGUGGAAAUAGCUGCUGGCCAUCAUGCUAUGCCAAGGUGAAUGCGACCGCCGCGCUGGAUCAAAAUAAAGUUAGAAAAAAGAUUGUGGGGGGUAGCGCAAAUAACAAAAUAUCAAUAUUUGAGAAACGACUUUUGUAGAAUAGG